Molecule: ribosomal RNA, 406 nt
Filed under: uncultured bacterium
Lineage: Bacteria
Description: partial 16S ribosomal RNA
Rfam family: Bacterial small subunit ribosomal RNA
Source: RNAcentral
AUUUAACGCUGGCGGCAGGCCUAACACAUGCAAGUCGAACGAGUGGCGGACGGGUGAGUAAUGUCUGGGAAACUGCCCGAUGGAGGGGGAUAACUACUGGAAAAGGUAGCUAAUACCGCAUACCAUCGGAUGUGCCCAGAUGGGAUUAGCUAGUCGGUGGGGUAACGGCUCACCUAGGCGACGAUCCCUAGCUGGGCUGAGAGGAUGACCAGCCACACUGGAACUGAGACACGGUCCAGACUCCUCCGGGAGGCAGCAGUGGGGAAUAUUGCACAAUGGGCGCAAGCCUGAUGCAGCCAUGCCGCGUGUAUGAAGAAGGCCUUCGGGUUGUAAAGUACUUUCAGCGAGGAGGCGUUACCCGCAGAAGAAGCGCCGGCUAACUACGUGCCAGCAGCCGCGGUAAUUC